Molecule: ribosomal RNA, 433 nt
Filed under: uncultured bacterium
Lineage: Bacteria
Description: partial 16S ribosomal RNA
Rfam family: Bacterial small subunit ribosomal RNA
Source: RNAcentral
AGCGAACGCUGGCGGCAGGCCUAACACAUGCAAGUCGAACGGACCCUUCGGGGUUAGUGGCGGACGGGUGAGUAACACGUGGGAACGUGCCUUUAGGUUCGGAAUAGCUCCUGGAAACGGGUGGUAAUGCCGAAUGUGCCCUUCGGGGGAAAGAUUUAUCGCCUUUAGAGCGGCCCGCGUCUGAUUAGCUAGUUGGUGAGGUAACGGCUCACCAAGGCGACGAUCAGUAGCUGGUCUGAGAGGAUGACCAGCCACACUGGGACUGAGACACGGCCCAGACUCCUACGGGAGGCAGCAGUGGGGAAUCUUGCGGAAUGGGCGAAAGUCUGACGCAGCCAUGCCGCGUGAAUGAUGAAGGUCUUAGGAUUGUAAAAUUCUUUCACCGGGGACGAUAAUGACGGUACCCGGAGAAGAAGCCCCGGCUAACUUCGUG